Molecule: RNA transcript, 2608 nt
Organism: Eucalyptus grandis
Lineage: Eukaryota; Viridiplantae; Streptophyta; Magnoliopsida; Myrtales; Myrtaceae
Exons: 4
Source: RefSeq, a predicted model, not a curated record
GAGAAGUCACACCAAUUAUAUUUGCAAGAUAAUGCAAUCAGGUACAAAACCUCCACGAAUUUGUCCAGUCAACAGGAGAAACCCUCCCCCAGUCCGUCCUCUAGUGGAACCGAAAUCCCCAAUUUGCUGGUGAAUCCCCGUGAGUCGUCACCGUCACCUUCGGCUCCUUCAAGUUUCCUUGGAGGAUGUACCGGAGUGGCAGCAAGCUGUCGAUGCUUUAGGCGGUGAGAGCCCACGAAGGCUAUAAGGACUCAUCUAUGAGCGUGCACUUCAGCAAGAGUGAUCCCUGUCUAGAGUGGUCGCGAACAUCUUUUUACAGAAUUUUCCCACCUGCUACAAACAUCCCAUCCUGUAUAAACAAACAAUUCUCCUUCACCUCUUUAAUUUUCAGCGAAAUUCAGGUCCAUGCGUUUAUUUUUUGUCACAAAAGGAACGUAAUUCUUCAUCUCCAUCCCAACCCAUCUUUGACUUGAAAUGGUCGAGAAUUUCAAUUUUUGCUUCUGUGGGUUCAUAUUGAUCUUGUUUAUAAGCACAGAAGACGUAAUUUCUCGCUUCGUGAUUGAUUCAAAAGAAAAAAUUUGUAAUGUUCCUGGUCCAAAUGAAGCAGUGUCUUUUACCCAGGAGUUGUGAGUCGUUUGGCCGGUUGAGCAUAUGCAGUCCCAUGCCGUAAUUUCGAUGGCGCGAGUUUAGUUUAGUGGCAAUUUGGUGUAGUAAGUACUUGGAUGUGAGCUUGGUUCUUUUGGUAUUAAGGGGUUCUGCCAAAGUUUCUUAGGAUCUGUAUGGUCAAAUGGCAUAAUGCAGCUGGUCAAUACAGGGUUCGAGCAGAGUAUAACGUGCAUGGGUGUGUGGCGAGGGGAAAAACUGCUCAUUGCUCGUCUCGAGUUACCUAGUCUUGUUACUGAGUUUUGCAAUGACGAAAACCCUGCAGAUGAGGGGGAAGAACAGAAAGGGACAGAGAAGUGUGACUUAUGUAUUAAAAAAUAAGUCCUGCCUUGCAUUCCACCCGUGGAAGUCAUGUGAGAAAUGGUCUAUUUGGAAUUCUGCAUGGUAAAUUGAGAUCCUUUCAGGCUUUAUCUAAUUAGAACAACUGUUUGAUCAUUUGUCUAAUCAGGAUAUCACUAAUUUCAGCAUUUCCCUGUACCUUCUAACAUGAGAUUGAGGUUGGUAGGGCUGCCUUGACAGUGGCAAAAACUUGUACCCGACCAUCGAGAGAGAUCUUAUUCUUUAAUGUUUGUAAGGCGGAGUAGAUGAAUUGAGUCUAUGGUAUUCCAGUGUGUGACUAUCUCACUCAAGUGUACUUUCUUCUCUGGUGUCAAAGCAGCUUGGUGGUUUCUACAUCUGGACUAACACUUAUCAACUGAUUCGAACAUCGCCCAUGAAUAUAAGUGCUUCAAGCAGCCAGUGAGGCCUCAGAGGCACCUAUCUUUGACCUAAAUGUCGGUUCAGAAACAUGUCUUCUUGAAGAAAAAGAUGGAUGACAACAAGCUGUUGUUAGCAUGCAAUGGACAAAGGCUCGUGAAGAUGCAGAAAUGCAAGCUAUAAGACCAUUACAUCACUCUGGAAUAAAGUUAGAGAGCCUCUUCACCAAGUUUUGGAGGAUCUAAUGUCGCCUCCUAGGCUUGCUACAAUAAUUGGAUUCAUUGUCACGGCAAUCACAUUCUAGAAGAACCUCUUAAUUGGUGAGAAUGCGCCCCAUCAUGUAAUGCAGGACACUAUUCGACAACCAGGGCCAGGGACGAUUCCUUGUAUCAUACUUAUCUUAGGAGACAACCUCACUCAAGGCAAGACUUUCUUGACCCUCCAUUUUCUCUCAAACAGAAAUUUUGGCGUUCAUUUAUCAAUUGUUGUGUGUGAACAGGUGCCUGCUCUUCAAGAAUCAGACCAUGGGCUAUUGCCGGGGUGAUUUGUGUCCAUUAUGCGAUGCUUCAGGUGACUGACAUCGGAGUCGUGAAGGCAAGCUUGGCUUUCUGGCAUUGAGCCCAUUGUAUCAGUACGUCCUGAUGGUUCAGUUCACACUCCCCCACUCAUGGAUAUUGGUUAGUAUAGCUGUCUCCAAAGAGAAAUGAAAAGGAAAAAAAGAAUAAAAGGCAGUCAAAUAAAAAGGUCAUCUUUAAGUCAACUUUAUCAGUUUUAUGCUGAGAGGGCAUUUGAUUUGGUAUGUGAAGCUAUGCAGAUCUCUCAUACCUUUGUCCAAUUUUUCUGAAGUUGAAACAAGUCUCGGCUAGUCACUCCCACUGGUACAUAUUUGAUCGAGAAACACAGACUGAAUCUUGAUUGUGAAACAAGUAUUAACAAUGAAUCUAUAUCUGGAAACAUACAGAUGGAGAACUCAACAUAGGAGUGCAAGUGUAAUUCAGCCAAAGUAGGGCUACUUCACUAAGGAUUUUCAUGCUACUGAUUCUCAAGAAAGCAGCUGAGAGUUUUGUGAAAUAUACAGGAACAAUAAUGACCCAGCUCUUUGAUGUGGGUCAGGAGGAUUGUUCAGCGCUCUUCCACUGGGCAUACUUGUUCGCAGCCAUAGCUCACUUUCUGGUCAAGUGUGUACAUGUGGAUCUUGUCCUGAUAUUAUUUUUUCAGGCUAAUAAAGUCAGACUUUGACUCAGUCAAA